GUGAAUCAUCAAAUUUUUGAACGCAAAUUGCACUCUCCGGUUUUCCGGGAGAGUAUGCCUGUUUGAGGGUCUGUUUAAAAAAUAAUCGAGGCUGCUGCUGUGGUGGCUCUUCGGAAUUGGGUCAUCUUUCACCUUUCGGUUGUAAGCGACCUAAAAUUUUCUUUACGAUUCCACGAACGUUUCCAAGAUUUAUUUCUUUACACGUUUAAGGUAUCGAUUUUAUUAGGCGUGGUCGUCAUAUCGGAUCAUGUCCCUAAUUUUUCGUUAACUGACCUCAGACAGAUAAGAGUACCCGCUGAA
Molecule: unclassified non-coding RNA, 300 nt
Filed under: Glomus sp.
Lineage: Eukaryota; Fungi; Glomeromycota; Glomeromycetes; Glomerales; Glomeraceae
Description: partial contains 5.8S ribosomal RNA and internal transcribed spacer 2
Rfam family: 5.8S ribosomal RNA (bases 1-72)
Source: RNAcentral